This 72-nucleotide transfer RNA is filed under the name Urocitellus parryii (Arctic ground squirrel). RNAcentral's name for it is "Spermophilus parryii (Arctic ground squirrel) tRNA". It matches the Rfam family "tRNA". Rfam says of the family: Transfer RNA (tRNA) molecules are approximately 80 nucleotides in length. Their secondary structure includes four short double-helical elements and three loops (D, anti-codon, and T loops). Lineage: Eukaryota; Metazoa; Chordata; Mammalia; Rodentia; Sciuridae. RNAcentral also lists the same sequence under 1 other name. The record is from Rfam by way of RNAcentral.
GGGAAUGUAGCUCAGUUGGUAGAGUGCUUGCCUCGCAGGCACAAGGCCCUGGGUUCAACCCCUGAACUACCA